This is a long non-coding RNA of Pipra filicauda (Wire-tailed manakin), 404 nucleotides long. RefSeq lists it as uncharacterized. The transcript is spliced from 3 exons. The record is from RefSeq and is a predicted model, not a curated record. Lineage: Eukaryota; Metazoa; Chordata; Aves; Passeriformes; Pipridae.
GUGUGAGAGAAACAGACCUGCUGUGCUGAAGCGGGUAAUGAAGUCCCUGGAUAGACCUCAGGCUCAGCAUCCUUUAGGGAGGGGUGAGAGAUAAGCACGAGCUAACUAAUCCUGCAGAAUUCUCUGUAUGGGGGAAACCGAGGUGGGCAGCUGUGGAAUGACUUCUUACAGUCACAGCAGCCAGGAGAGCCUGAGAAGGAAAUGUGCCUCUCCCAAGGGCACACAAAAGCAGAAGCUGAGGUUACACAUGGUCUGCAGGAAGGAGCGGGAGCUGGAGCGAGUCUCUGCAGCAGUCGGGUGCACUUCACAGCACAGUCGGAUUCCUCAGUGAUGCACAGAGUUCAUAAAUGGUCAAUAGAGCUCCUUGAGCACGUUACAGGUAGGAAAAUUAUAUGCUACUAACA